This is a long non-coding RNA of Phragmites australis (common reed), 733 nucleotides long. RefSeq lists it as uncharacterized. The record is from RefSeq and is a predicted model, not a curated record. The transcript is spliced from 2 exons. Lineage: Eukaryota; Viridiplantae; Streptophyta; Magnoliopsida; Poales; Poaceae.
GUGGUAGUGUAAUUUGGAUGAAGUAUAAAUAUUAAUGCUGUGAUCAAAGUUUUUCCUGACCAUUGACUUAGAGAGGAGAUGAAGCAACAUCAGAAGAGCAGUUCGAAAUAAUAGUCGAAGAUUUUCCUGCAAAACUGAAGGAUAUUCACUGUUUGAUCAUACACUUUGAGGUGCUAAGCGAAGUCCUACAAGGGAGGGGCGACAGAGAUAGUUCUUGCUACAACUGUACUAGAACAUGCAGCAAACAUUCGACGGCUCAACAUCCUAACUGAUCCCAAUAACUCUGAAUCAAGUGAUAAUGCGAGACGGGUUCUUGAGCGUGUCGACAGUCCUUUCCCUCCGGUGGACAUGCGUUUUGGCUAAGGAUCAUCCCCCAAGGCCGAGUCCUACUGCUCAGAAGUAAUGCUGGACUACCAGGAAGAUGGUGGAGAGCGGCAGAUGAACAUGUUUGAAGCUGGAAGGUGCCCUGCAAUGAUCCAAAAAAACUGCUGCCUAUGGUGCUUUGGCGUUGCACUUGCGAAUAAGAUGGUCUGGACGUCACUGCCUCUUCAGUCUGACUUCUGCUGGUAAGCUGCUAGGAGAUUAGGCAGACAGGGUCUCUGCAAUUUCUUUGUACUGAUUUUGUAAGUGGCGACGUCCACUUUUAAACAAACCGUACUCUCUCUGAGUCGUGCAUAACCUACUUGUGCUAGCCGAUUCAGCAUUAGCAUGUAUUUGCAUUUACUUUGUGCUA